Molecule: ribosomal RNA, 403 nt
Filed under: uncultured bacterium
Lineage: Bacteria
Description: partial 16S ribosomal RNA
Rfam family: Bacterial small subunit ribosomal RNA
Source: RNAcentral
GACGAACGCUGGCGGCGUGCCUAAUACAUGCAAGUCGAACGCAGUGGGGACGGGUGAGUAACACGUGGGUAACCUCCCAUCAGAGGGGAUAACACUUGGAAACAGGUGCUAAACCGAUACUGAUGGAUGGACCCGCGGUGCAUUAGCUAGUUGGUGAGGUAACGGCUCACCAAGGCCACGAUGCAUAGCCGAACAGGGAUGGUGGACGGCCACAACGGGAAUGAGACAGGGACCAGACUCCUACGGGAGGCAGCAGUAGGGAAUCUUCGGGAAUGGACGAAAGUCUGACCGAGCAACCGCGCGUUAGGGAAGAAGGUUUUCGGGUCGGAAAACUCUGUUGUUAGAGAAGCGGUAUCUAACCAGAAAGCCACGGCUAACUACGUGCCAGCAGCCGCAGUAAUAC